Long non-coding RNA from Eleginops maclovinus (Patagonian blennie), 674 nucleotides. RefSeq lists it as uncharacterized. The transcript has 3 exons. The record is from RefSeq and is a predicted model, not a curated record. Lineage: Eukaryota; Metazoa; Chordata; Actinopteri; Perciformes; Eleginopidae.
AUCGUUUCAUACCUGAUCCUGUACAUGUUACCUGCCUGUUCCUGCCCGUCCGUCUGUCUGCUCCUGUUCCCGGAGUCCCUGUGUCCCCUGAGGCCAGAUGAGGUGAGCAAGGGGCUCUGAGUCCAGAGGCAUAUGUGCGAGGCAAGGCCUUUUGACGUCUAUUCCAGGAAAACUCACCUGUCCUGGUUUGGCAUCUUCACAUAUCGAGGCUUCGUACGGUGUGGCCAGCUCAGGAGGAUUGUCAUUUACGUCCAGAAUCCGAAUACUCACUGCUGAGUGGGACGCCAUGGUGUGGUUUUCUACAGGAGAGAUGAAAAGAAAUUGGAUCAACAACAUUUGUCUAGACAUGUCUUAAUAGUGUGAAGAGCUUCGGAAGAGAUGUGUCUUAGCUGCUAUGUGCUAGUUUUUGCACAGGAAACCAGUGCAGACGAGAAGUUGCAGGAGUCCAUGGGCAAAACCCUUAAUGCUCUUCUAGUCUGCCUUCAGUAUGAGUGAGACAACACUGAGAUGGAUGCAAUUUCCCACAAGAAAGCAGACAUUUGGUUUGGAAUUGUGGCUAAGUGCUGAAGGGUUUUAAUCUAAUGCUUCGACAAAUUGCACCCAUUACCUGAAAAACACUUUGUGGCACCAUUGAGCGACAUGAAAAUGGUACCAGAGAUCCCAUGUUUGUCUCU